This 468-nucleotide ribosomal RNA is filed under the name uncultured bacterium. RNAcentral describes it as "partial 16S ribosomal RNA". It matches the Rfam family "Bacterial small subunit ribosomal RNA", at positions 28 to 507 of the family's 1533-position model. The record is from RNAcentral.
GACGAACGCUGGCGGCGUGCUUAACACAUGCAAGUCGAACGGAAAGGCCCUGCUUUUGUGGGGUGCUCGAGUGGCGAACGGGUGAGUAACACGUGAGUAACCUGCCCUUGACUUUGGGAUAACUUCAGGAAACUGGGGCUAAUACCGGAUAGGAGCUCCUGCUGCAUGUUGUGGGUUGGAAAGUUUCGGCGGUUGGGGAUGGACUCGCGGCUUAUCAGCUUGUUGGUGGGGUAGUGGCUUACCAAGGCUUUGACGGGUAGCCGGCCUGAGAGGGUGACCGGCCACAUUGGGACUGAGAUACGGCCCAGAAUCCUACGGGAGGCAGCAGUGGGGAAUAUUGCACAAUGGGCGGAAGCCUGAUGCAGCAACGCCGCGUGCGGGAUGACGGCCUUCGGGUUGUAAACCGCUUUCGCCUGUGACGAAGCGUGAGUGACGGUAAUGGGUAAAGAAGCACCGGCUAACUACGUG